UACUGGCAAAGGUGUUCCGUCGAGGGAAA
This 29-nucleotide small RNA is filed under the name Bombyx mori (domestic silkworm). RNAcentral's name for it is "ovarian small RNA-21524". Lineage: Eukaryota; Metazoa; Arthropoda; Insecta; Lepidoptera; Bombycidae. The record is from RNAcentral.